CUUAGCUUGCUAAGGCCGAUGGCGACCGGCGCACGGGUGAGUAACACGUAUCCAACCUGCCGUCUACUCUUGGACAGCCUUCUGAAAGGAAGAUUAAUACAAGAUGGCAUCAUGAGUCCACAUGUUCACAUGAUUAAAGGUAUUCCGGUAGACGAUGGGGAUGCGUUCCAUUAGAUAGUAGGCGGGGUAACGGCCCACCUAGUCUUCGAUGGAUAGGGGUUCUGAGAGGAAGGUCCCCCACAUUGGAACUGAGACACGGUCCAAACUCCUACGGGAGGCAGCAGUGAGGAAUAUUGGUCAAUGGGCGAGAGCCCGAACCAGCCAAGUAGCGUGAAGGAUGACUGCCCUAUGGGUUGUAAACUUCUUUUAUAAAGGAAUAAAGUCGGGUAUGGAUACCCGUUUGCAUGUACUUUAUGAAUAAGGAUCGGCUAACUCCGUGCCAGCAGCCGCGGUAAUACGGAGGAUCCGAGCGUUAUCCGGAUUUAUUGGGUUUAAAGGGAGCGUAGAUGGAUGUUUAAGUCAGUUGUGAAAGUUUGCGGCUCAACCGUAAAAUUGCAGUUGAUACUGAAUAUCUUGAGUGCAGUUGAGGCAGGCGGAAUUCGUGGUGUAGCGGUGAAAUGCUUAGAUAUCACGAAGAACUCC
This 642-nucleotide ribosomal RNA is filed under the name uncultured Bacteroidales bacterium. RNAcentral describes it as "bacterial SSU rRNA". It matches the Rfam family "Bacterial small subunit ribosomal RNA", at positions 71 to 710 of the family's 1533-position model. The record is from RNAcentral. Lineage: Bacteria; Pseudomonadati; Bacteroidota; Bacteroidia; Bacteroidales.